UCUCCGUAGGUGAACCUGCGGAGGGAUCAUUACCGAGUUAUCCCCUCCCAACCCACUCCUAACCUAUUGAAGUGCCCAACCUCGUUGCACCGGGGGGCGACUCGGCCGCUCCGCCUGGCCCCCGAUUGCCUCAAAUCUAUCUUGUUAUUUUUCUUAUGAUUUAAAUGGUAAAGAAAUCAAAACUUUCAACAACGGAGCUCUUGGUUCUGGCAUCGAUGAAGAACGAAGCAGAUCGGAUAAGCACACUCCUGAACUCCAUUAACCAUUUGCCAUCUCUAA
This 279-nucleotide unclassified non-coding RNA is filed under the name plant metagenome. Its description in RNAcentral is "partial contains small subunit ribosomal RNA, internal transcribed spacer 1, and 5.8S ribosomal RNA". The record is from RNAcentral.